Molecule: ribosomal RNA, 253 nt
Filed under: uncultured bacterium
Lineage: Bacteria
Also listed under: 1 other name
Description: partial 16S ribosomal RNA
Rfam family: Bacterial small subunit ribosomal RNA
Source: RNAcentral
UACGGAGGGUGCAAGCGUUGUCCGGAUUUAUUGGGUUUAAAGGGUGCGUAGGCGGCCCGUUAAGUCAGCGGUGAAAUCCCGGGGCUCAACCCCGGAACUGCCGUUGAUACUGGCGGGCUUGAGUUCGGUCGAGGCGGGCGGAACUGGCGGUGUAGCGGUGAAAUGCUUAGAUACCGCCAAGAACCCCGAUUGCGUAGGCAGCUCGCUUGGCCGAAACUGACGCUGAGGCACGAAAGCGUGGGGAGCGAACAGG